GAUGAACGCUGGCUACAGGCUUAACACAUGCAAGUCGAGGGGAAACGACGGGGAAGCUUGCUUCCCCGGGCGUCGACCGGCGCACGGGUGAGUAACGCGUAUCCAACCUGCCUCUGACUGAGGGAUAACCCGUCGAAAGUCGGCCUAAUACCUCAUGGCAUCGUCUGCGGGCAUCCAACGACGAUUAAAGAUUUCAUCGGUCAGAGAUGGGGAUGCGUCUGAUUAGCUUGUUGGCGGGGUAACGGCCCACCAAGGCGACGAUCAGUAGGGGUUCUGAGAGGAAGGUCCCCCACAUUGGAACUGAGACACGGUCCAAACUCCUACGGGAGGCAGCAGUGAGGAAUAUUGGUCAAUGGGCGAGAGCCUGAACCAGCCAAGUAGCGUGCAGGAUGACGGCCCUAUGGGUUGUAAACUGCUUUUAUGCGGGGAUAAAGUGAGGGACGUGUCCUUCAUUGCAGGUACCGCAGGAAUAAGGACCGGCUAAUUCCGG
RNAcentral lists this ribosomal RNA (490 nucleotides) under uncultured bacterium. RNAcentral's name for it is "partial 16S ribosomal RNA". It matches the Rfam family "Bacterial small subunit ribosomal RNA", at positions 28 to 506 of the family's 1533-position model. The record is from RNAcentral.